GCCAGUGURAUSGAMWSYSCRURWUUCSCCCUWGARUUUGAUUCUGGCUCASAUUGAACGCUGGCGGCAUGCCUUACACAUGCAAGUCGAACGGCAGCACGGGGGCAACCCUGGUGGCGAGUGGCGAACGGGUGAGUAACGCAUCGGAACGUGCCCAGUAGUGGGGGAUAACCAGUCGAAAGAUUGGCUAAUACCGCAUACGACCUACGGGUGAAAGCGGGGGACCGUAAGGCCUCGCGCUAUUGGAGCGGCCGAUGUCUGAUUAGCUAGUUGGCGGGGUAAGAGCCCACCAAGGCGACGAUCAGUAGCUGGUCUGAGAGGACGACCAGCCACACUGGGACUGAGACACGGCCCAGACUCCUACGGGAGGCAGCAGUGGGGAAUUUUGGACAAUGGGCGCAAGCCUGAUCCAGCCAUGCCGCGUGCGGGAAGAAGGCCUUCGGGUUGUAAACCGCUUUUGGCAGGAACGAAACGGCGAUUCCUAAUACGAGUCGUUAAUGACGGUACCUGCAGAAUAAGCACCGGCUAACUACGUGCCAGCAGCCGCGGUAAUACGUAGGGUGCAAGCGUUAAUCGGAAUUACUGGGCGUAAAGCGUACGCAGGCGGCUUUGCAAGACAGGUGUGAAAUCCCCGGGCCUAACCUGGGAACUGCAUUUGUGACUGCAUGGCUAGAGUCUGUCGGAGGGGGGUGGAAUUCCACGUGUAGCAGUGAAAUGCGUAGAGAUGUGGAAGAACACCGAUGGCGAAGGCAGCCCCCUGGGAUGAGACUGACGCUCAUGUACGAAAGCGUGGGGAGCAAACAGGAUUAGAUACCCUGGUAGUCCACGCCCUAAACGAUGUCUACUAGUUGUCGGAGGGUAACUCCUUCGGUAACGCAGCUAACGCGUGAAGUAGACCGCCUGGGGAGUACGGUCGCAAGAUUAAAACUCAAAGGAAUUGACGGGGACCCGCACAAGCGGUGGAUGAUGUGGAUUAAUUCGAUGCAACGCGAAAACUUACUACCCUUGA
This 1009-nucleotide ribosomal RNA is filed under the name uncultured bacterium. RNAcentral's name for it is "bacterial SSU rRNA". It matches the Rfam family "Bacterial small subunit ribosomal RNA", at positions 1 to 984 of the family's 1533-position model. The record is from RNAcentral.